Molecule: long non-coding RNA, 347 nt
Filed under: Hordeum vulgare
Lineage: Eukaryota; Viridiplantae; Streptophyta; Magnoliopsida; Poales; Poaceae
Description: long non-coding RNA (HVUL_LNC008128)
Source: RNAcentral
GAUCCUUGUUAUAUGUGUCUAGAAGUUGGAUACUUACGACGUCCUCUUCUCCUCAUCAGCGAUGAUUGUUGCUCUGGUGGGCUGGUCUUGUUGGGCAUCAGCAUUAUGACUUCCUUAGUCCUUACAGUCUACUACAACACGUUUUGCCUAGCUCGGUGUGGGAGGGACAACGACGAUGACACAUCAUUAGCUCGCUUCAGUGCUUGUAUUCAUCGUUAGGUGGUCUACGAACCUGAAUGUAAUUUUUAUUACUUUUCAUGUUCUUUGUACUACCCUGAAUAUUGAUAAAUAUAUCAAAAAAAAAUCCCUAAAAAUGAUAUAAAAUGUAAGAGCAGCUCUAACUAUCN